UGUGGGAGCGGGCUUGCUCGCGAUACCGGCGACGCGGUGCAUCAGGCAUUGUGUGGUGAUGCUAUCGCGAGCAAGCCCGCUCCCACA
RNAcentral lists this unclassified non-coding RNA (87 nucleotides) under Pseudomonas fragi. The record is from RNAcentral. Lineage: Bacteria; Pseudomonadati; Pseudomonadota; Gammaproteobacteria; Pseudomonadales; Pseudomonadaceae.